GCGAUAUCGUGAGACAACCGCUCUUACACUAAAUUUAAGGUGUCUAGCGGGCGAACACGAUGACGUAGGAUAACCGUGCUUACACUAAAUUGUUUCUAGCGGGCGAACGCGAUGCCGUAGCGCAAAAGUUCUCUUACCAGAUUGUAACUUUUAGGACGUGCGUAGUGGCCGUCGGAUAAGUAUGCACGCUGCUGUGUUUAUCAAUCGUGGAUUCAUUUUUGGUUCACCUGUGCGCGCGUUUCCGUUAACAAUCAAUUAUAGAUUCGCACAUAAGAAUAACUUGGAAUUAUAAUUAAUUCCUGCAAAUGGACAACUUUAAUGCACAGACAAAAAGUUAGUGAAUGCACGAAUGGAGUUUGCAAUAUCUAGAGCUGAAGUGUUGGAAAUGCGUAUAUUUUAACACGUUGAGGACGGCGUGUACCACCGGUGGUACACACGCGUCUGGUCUGUGGGACGGCGUGUACCACCGGUGGUACACGGCUCAUUUGAAACGAGACUUAUUCAUUUUUGACUACGCCACUGGUUAGGUUAUAUAUUCUCCUCGUUUCACCUAUACAAUCAGGGCCUUGCAUCUUUGUCAUCAAAUGUGUGACUCAGAUUACAUAUUAUAAUAAAUAGUGACCGACCAAAGUUUCAGUUUUGGCUUCAAAUUUGGUUUCGGCUAAAAAUUGGCUGAAACUUUUGGCAGAACCGAAACUCAGUGUUCGUAAAUUAUCGUGCGUCGUUCGGCUAACUCGCGGUUAAGUCGUGGUCGUCACUUGCCAUCUCAGUUCGCACAUAGUUUCGGUCGGACUCUAAAGAUAAAGGCA
Long non-coding RNA from Dalotia coriaria, 809 nucleotides. RefSeq lists it as uncharacterized. The transcript has 3 exons. The record is from RefSeq and is a predicted model, not a curated record. Lineage: Eukaryota; Metazoa; Arthropoda; Insecta; Coleoptera; Staphylinidae.